CAGUCGCCGCGGGAAUACAGAGGGUGCGAGCGUUAAUCGGAAUUACUGGGCGUAAAGCGCACGCAGGCGGUCUGUCAAGUCGGAUGUGAAAUCCCCGGGCUCAACCUGGGAACUGCAUUCGAAACUGGCAGGCUAGAGUCUUGUAGAGGGGGGUAGAAUUCCAGGUGUAGCGGUGAAAUGCGUAGAGAUCGGGAGGAACAUCAGUGGCGAAGGCGGCCAUCUGGGACAACACUGACGCUGAGGCACGAAAGCGUGGGGAGCAAACAGGAUUAGAUACCCCUGUAGUCCCUGUCUCUUAUAC
This 301-nucleotide ribosomal RNA is filed under the name uncultured bacterium. RNAcentral's name for it is "partial 16S ribosomal RNA". It matches the Rfam family "Bacterial small subunit ribosomal RNA", at positions 509 to 807 of the family's 1533-position model. The record is from RNAcentral.